Megalobrama amblycephala (Wuchang bream) is the source of this 620-nucleotide long non-coding RNA. RefSeq lists it as uncharacterized. The record is from RefSeq and is a predicted model, not a curated record. NCBI's taxonomy places the organism in Eukaryota, Metazoa, Chordata, Actinopteri, Cypriniformes, Xenocyprididae. The transcript is spliced from 3 exons.
AAGAUCAUCAUCAACAACAGCAGCUUCAGCAUCACCAGAGUUAAGAGAUUCAAUGUUACUGUCACUGCUGUUCCAGGUUCAGGUCUGUCUUCAGGUGCUGUAGCAGGAAUAGCGAUUGGUGUUGUUGCUGUUCUGCUGGUUGCUGCUGCUGGUGUGGUUUACUGUCACCGCAGGAUCCAUACAGCAGUACCACAGACUGAUCCAAAUGACAUCCUCUGAGAAGGAUGAGAUGUCCUUAAAUCAGAUUCAGACUGAGGCUGCUAAAAAAAAAAUGAUACUUUCAUUGAAAGGGACACUGAAGAAAAUUAGGAAAUGAUGGAGAGAAGAGGAUCAGCUGAAAUUCUCAUUACUCACAGAGUAAUUUACAUUUACAUUUACAUUUACGCUUUUGGCAGACGCUUUUAUCCAAAGCGACUUACAUUGCAUUAUAUACAUUUGUAUCUGAGUAUGUGCAAUCCCUGGGAUCAAACCCAUGACUUUGGCAUCCUACUGUACUUGGCUACAUCCUUUUUGGCUACAGGAAAGCAUAAUUGUGUCACGAUUCCAAGAUUUCAGUUAUCAGCACCAAUACCAGUCAAAUUUAUAUAUCGCGAUAUAUCGCAUGCGAUUGUCACGCGCAU